This 253-nucleotide ribosomal RNA is filed under the name uncultured bacterium. Its description in RNAcentral is "partial 16S ribosomal RNA". It matches the Rfam family "Bacterial small subunit ribosomal RNA", at positions 524 to 776 of the family's 1533-position model. The record is from RNAcentral.
UACGGAGGAUGCAAGCGUCAUCCGGAUUUAUUGGGUUUAAAGGGUGCGUAGGCGGGUUAUCAAGUCAGCGGUGAAAUUUUUCGGCUUAACCGUAAAAUUGCCGUUGAAACUGGUGAUCUUGAGUGCGAGCGAGGUAGGCGGAAUGUGCCGUGUAGCGGUGAAAUGCAUAGAUAUGGCACAGAACUCCGAUUGCGAAGGCAGCUUACUAGUACGCUACUGACGCUGAUGCACGAAGGCGUGGGGAUCAAACAGG